RNAcentral lists this ribosomal RNA (1769 nucleotides) under Campylobacter jejuni. RNAcentral's name for it is "partial 23S ribosomal RNA". It matches the Rfam family "Bacterial large subunit ribosomal RNA", at positions 1 to 1792 of the family's 2925-position model. Lineage: Bacteria; Pseudomonadati; Campylobacterota; Epsilonproteobacteria; Campylobacterales; Campylobacteraceae. The record is from RNAcentral.
AGGUAAGCUACUAAGAGCGAAUGGUGGAUGCCUUGACUGGUAAAGGCGAUGAAGGACGUACUAGACUGCGAUAAGCUACGGGGAGCUGUCAAGAAGCUUUGAUCCGUAGAUUUCCGAAUGGGGCAACCCAAUGUAUAGAGAUAUACAUUACCUAUAUAGGAGCGAACGAGGGGAAUUGAAACAUCUUAGUACCCUCAGGAAAAGAAAUCAAUAGAGAUUGCGUCAGUAGCGGCGAGCGAAAGCGCAAGAGGGCAAACCCAGUGCUUGCACUGGGGGUUGUAGGACUGCAAUGUGCAAGAGGUAAGUUUAGCAGAACAUUCUGGAAAGUAUAACCAUAGAGGGUGAUAGUCCCGUAUGCGAAAAACAAACCUUAGCUAGCAGUAUCCUGAGUAGGGCGGGACACGAGGAAUCCUGUCUGAAUCCGGGUCGACCACGAUCCAACCCUAAAUACUAAUACCAGAUCGAUAGUGCACAAGUACCGUGAGGGAAAGGUGAAAAGAACUGAGGUGAUCAGAGUGAAAUAGAACCUGAAACCAUUUGCUUACAAUCAUUCAGAGCCCUAUGUAGCAAUACAGGGUGAUGGACUGCCUUUUGCAUAAUGAGCCUGCGAGUUGUGGUGUCUGGCAAGGUUAAGCAAACGCGAAGCCGUAGCGAAAGCGAGUCUGAAUAGGGCGCUUAGUCAGAUGCUGCAGACCCGAAACGAAGUGAUCUAUCCAUGAGCAAGUUGAAGCUAGUGUAAGAACUAGUGGAGGACUGAACCCAUAGGCGUUGAAAAGCCCCGGGAUGACUUGUGGAUAGGGGUGAAAGGCCAAUCAAACUUCGUGAUAGCUGGUUCUCUCCGAAAUAUAUUUAGGUAUAGCGUUGUGUCGUAAUAUAAGGGGGUAGAGCACUGAAUGGGCUAGGGCAUACACCAAUGUACCAAACCCUAUCAAACUCCGAAUACCUUAUAUGUAAUCACAGCAGUCAGGCGGCGAGUGAUAAAAUCCGUCGUCAAGAGGGAAACAACCCAGACUACCAGCUAAGGUCCCUAAAUCUUACUUAAGUGGAAAACGAUGUGAAGUUACUUAAACAACCAGGAGGUUGGCUUAGAAGCAGCCAUCCUUUAAAGAAAGCGUAAUAGCUCACUGGUCUAGUGAUUUUGCGCGGAAAAUAUAACGGGGCUAAAGUAAGUACCGAAGCUGUAGACUUAGUUUACUAAGUGGUAGGAGAGCGUUCUAUUUGCGUCGAAGGUAUACCGGUAAGGAGUGCUGGAGCGAAUAGAAGUGAGCAUGCAGGCAUGAGUAGCGAUAAUUAAUGUGAGAAUCAUUAACGCCGUAAACCCAAGGUUUCCUACGCGAUGCUCGUCAUCGUAGGGUUAGUCGGGUCCUAAGUCGAGUCCGAAAGGGGUAGACGAUGGCAAAUUGGUUAAUAUUCCAAUACCAACAUUAGUGUGCGAUGGAAGGACGCUUAGGGCUAAGGGGGCUAGCGGAUGGAAGUGCUAGUCUAAGGUCGUAGGAGGUUAUACAGGCAAAUCCGUAUAACAAUACUCCGAGAACUGAAAGGCUUUUUGAAGUCUUCGGAUGGAUAGAAGAACCCCUGAUGCCGUCGAGCCAAGAAAAGUUUCUAAGUUUAGCUAAUGUUGCCCGUACCGUAAACCGACACAGGUGGGUGGGAUGAGUAUUCUAAGGCGCGUGGAAGAACUCUCUUUAAGGAACUCUGCAAAAUAGCACCGUAUCUUCGGUAUAAGGUGUGGUUAGCUUUGUAUUAGGAUUUACUCCGAAAGCAAGGAA